Molecule: RNA transcript, 3167 nt
Organism: Mauremys reevesii (Reeves's turtle)
Lineage: Eukaryota; Metazoa; Chordata; Testudines; Geoemydidae
Gene: MORC4
Gene name: MORC family CW-type zinc finger 4
Exons: 18
Source: RefSeq, a predicted model, not a curated record
GGGAGCUCCGGGGUGGGGGCCGCCAUAUUGCGGUGGUUGAGGGAGAAGGGGGCUCUCGGCGUUGCUGCAGUUGGAGCUGUCACUGCGCGGCUCCCCGCUUUCUCCCGCUGGAGCCCGCGGCGCGGAGCGCUGGGCCGCCAUGGCCCGGAGGCUGAACACGGAGCAGGGCAUCCGCCUCAGCGCGAUGAGCCCGCGUUACCUGCAGAGCAACAGCACCAGCCACACGCGGCCCUUCAGCGCCAUGGCCGAGCUGCUGGACAAUGCUUCAGAUCCAGGUGUGACGGCUAAGCUUCUCUGCAUUGAUGUUGUGGAGAUCAAGGGGGAGCUUUGUUUGACUUUCACAGAUAAUGGUGCUGGAAUGACACCUCACAAACUUCACCGUAUGCUCAGCUUUGGCUUCACAGACAAGGCAGUGAAGAAGAACCACCCAUCCAUUGGAGUGUAUGGUAAUGGUUUCAAGUCAGGCUCCAUGCGUCUGGGAAAGGAUGCCAUUGUCUUCACCAAGAAUGGAGGUGCACUCAGUGUGGGGCUCCUUUCGCAGACCUAUUUGGAACGUGUCCAUGCUCAGGCUGUUGUUGUCCCGGUGAUACCGUUCAACCAGCAAAACAAGAAAAUGAUUGUUACAGAAGACUCGGGUCCUAGCCUUGAGGCCAUCCUGAAACAUACGCUCUUCAGUACUGAGGAGGAGUUGCUGGCUCAGUUUGAUGCCAUUCCAGGCAAAAAGGGCACACGGAUCCUCAUCUGGAACAUCCGCAGAAAUAAAGAUGGGAAACCUGAAUUGGACUUUGAUACAGACCAGUUUGACAUUCGGAUAUCAGACUUCAACACGGAGGAAUCAGAGAAUGCUGGCAGGAAGGUUCCUCCUCGCCUUGAGAAGGUGCAAGAGUCCUCUGCACCAGAAACCGAGUACUCCUUACGGGCAUACUGCAGUAUCUUGUACCUGAAGCCCCGCAUGCAGAUUGUUCUGCGACAGAAGAAAGUGAAGACUCAGCUGAUCUCCAAGAGCUUGGCUAAUAUCGAAUAUGAUGUAUACAGACCUACCUCCACAAACAAGAGGGUGAAGAUCACCUUUGGGUUCAAUUGCAAGAACAAUAGCCACUUUGGAAUCAUGAUGUACCACAACAACCGACUCAUCAAGUCCUACGAGAAAGUGGGCUGCCAAAUGAAGGGGGAUGGCAUGGGCGUGAUCGGGGUGAUUGAGUGCAACUUCUUGAAACCAGCACACAACAAACAGGACUUUGAAGAAAGCAAGGAAUACCGACGGACAAUUACUGCACUGGGACAGAAACUCAACACUUAUUGGAAGGCGAAGGUGGCGCAGAUGAACUUUGGCAGCACUGGAACUACCCAUGUGCCAGCAGGGAGACCAGACCAGACUUGGGUGCAGUGUGAGGAGUGUUUGAAAUGGAGGAAGCUCCCUGACAAGGUUGAUCCUGCAUCAUUACCUGAGAAGUGGUUCUGUCAUCUCCAUCCCCACCCCAAGUACAAAAGCUGCUCAGCACCUGAAGAGCAGGAGCCCAGUGAUGAGGAGAUGAGCCCCAGCUAUGACCGAAAAUUCAGGAAACAAGAGCAGACCGCAGAGAGAAAGAGGAGGAGGUCGUCAUCAUCUUUGGAGAACCUGGAACACCAGGUAUUAUCCACUACACCAGAGCUCUGUCCUGCUCAGAAUAACAGUGUAACACGAGUGAUAAAGCAAGAGCCUGCAGAAGAGGGGCCUGAUGGGAUUGCUGGCUCUCUCACUCCUCCCCCUGCUCUUGACAGGGUCGGUGCUGUCUGUCUGACCACUGGGCCUUUGGAGCAAAAUAUACCACAGACAACUUCAAGCAAGCACAAGCUGUCCACAGAAGAAGAGCUGCUGGAAAAGCGGAAGCGCUAUCAGGAGCAGAUAGACCCAUCCCCCCCAGAUCUGACCAGUCCAAGCCCCCCUACUUCUUUUGAAAGGGAGAGCUUCACUGAAGUGGACCAGGAUCAGGAAUGCAGUGAGUCUGACAAGGAUGAUGAAAGUAUACAGGGGAGCAUAGACUCCUGCCUAGUCAGAGAACAUCUGGAUGCACUCUCUGGCACCAACCAAGCUGUGGAUGCUUCACACAAUGGGGGUCUCUGUCCUACCAAAGAGACUCCAGCAAGUCUCGGUCACUUUGAAGGAGAGCAAAAGGAGACUGCAGUGGUCCAGGUGGAACUGGAAGAGGAAAUGCCAGCCUUAAUAUCAGAAAGCCAGGCAGCAGAUAAGAGUGUCUGUGUAAAUACAUGUGGGAACGUGGAGGAGGUGGACAAGAGGCCCUUCGUGGCUGUUGUUGGUAUUUCAAAGACUGCUGCGGAUGGUGAGGCUCCCAUUCAGCUAAUCCCCUUUGGGUGGGAGGAGAGACUUGAUAAAGCAAAGGUUGAGGUGAAGACCAGGAGCCACAAUGAUCCUCCCCCUGAUGAGGACAAAGGAGGAGGAGAUCUGCAGGUACCAAAGACCAGAAAUCAGAGGGAUAUGGUGGAGCAGGAGGAGCUGAGACAAACUGUGGAGAAUUUCUCAGUGGAGCUGAAGAGGGUCUCAGCGGAACGGGAUUUGCUCCAGGGCAAGGUGGAGGAACUAGAGCAGGAGAAGUGCCACCUGGAGACAGAUUUCUUGAAAAGCCAACAGGAGUUGGCAACGCUCAGGGCCCAGGAGACUGAAGGCUUGUACUGGAGCAAGAAACACAUGGGUUACCGCCAGGCUGAACUGCAAGAGCUGAAGGCUCAGCUGGAGAGGACCAUAGAGGAAAAGACCGAGCUGAAGGAGAGGCUCAAGGAGACAGAGAUGCACCUGGAGGUGCUUAGGGAGGCACAUGUUUCCUGCAGGAGCCCAGAGAGAGGAGACUUGAAAAGAGAAGUGAACUGAUUUGCACAAUGUCGCAUGAGAAACUUACAACAGAGUUGAGAACUGAGUUACAUUCCCCUAUUUACAAUCCUGUGCAUUGGCUCCAAGAUCUUCCCAUCCUACCAUCUGCAGCUUGCACUGUCUUUAGAAUGGAGCAAAGAACCUCAGCCUUCCACGGCACUGCACUAUGGAGAAGCUGAAGAACCUGCGUAGGAAUGUCAGCCAGCUCCUCUCACUGGUCCUCCCUCACCUAGAGCUGCAGGAUGUUAACUAUGAUUCGGACCAGAUUGAUGAAAUCUUACAGACAGUGUUGGAGACAAAC